Molecule: long non-coding RNA, 1635 nt
Organism: Cynoglossus semilaevis (tongue sole)
Lineage: Eukaryota; Metazoa; Chordata; Actinopteri; Pleuronectiformes; Cynoglossidae
Exons: 4
Source: RefSeq, a predicted model, not a curated record
UCCUUUUAAAUCCAGAUAUAAUGGCUGUGAUGUAAGAUUAUUGCUGUACAUUAUUUUAAUCCCAAUGUGACUGAAUCUAAUCACAUAUCAUCAGCAUAUAAAGCCUGCUGCAGCAGGAGAUUGUACAGGAGGGACCUGGUCCUCUACGGUGAGGACGAGCUGUUUUCAAAGAUUCAUGGUCAAACUGAGCAUAAAACAGAUGUUUGAAUUAUGGAUGUCUAAUGUGGUGAAAGGAAAGAAACAUUACAGAAAUAUAGAUUUGAAAACAAGACUGUGGUUUCCUGAAUGACUGCAAAUAUUUAAGCUUUAGUUCAGAUUAGCUUUUAGCUCUCCCCCGGCUAACCUUUGACUAUCUCAGUUAUAUAUUUGGCUGACCUUUAACUAAGUUUGACCUGUCUUCUUAACUUAAGUGUGUGGCCUGUCUGCCUGUCUGCUGUGUAAUCAGUGUCAUCCCACUCACCUGUGUCCUGUCAUUACCUGUUCAUUAGUCUCACUGUUGUCACCUGGGUAUGAAUACCUCCCUCCCUCAGGUCAUGGAGAGUCCAUGUGGUCUGUGUCUGUGCAGCUGAUGGACAUGUCCUGUGCAGCACGAAAUGAGACCUUCCAAUAACACUGCAUCACACGGAAAAUGUUACGACACAUGAAACAUAGAGCACCGAUGUCCCAGAGGAAACCAACGCUCAAAUGUCUCUACGAUCCCUCUCUGCCGCUCACGGCUGGUUGCUUGUGUACAGUUGUAACACACAGACGUGGAGGCUGGUUUAAUCACAGUUCACAGACUCUUCUGACGUCUUAUUACGAGAGGUGAUAAGAGGUUUCAGCCAACACUGGAGCUGCUUUAUCUCCACAUACAACGUGCAGCCAUUCAACCAAAUGGGACGUCAUUGUAUUUGACUUGUAUUUGACUUACUAACUACCACUUAACACAAAGGGGAGGGGAUGUGUCUGAUUGGAAUGUCAAUUAAAAACCCCACUGACGUGUGAGUCACCGUGCUGUUUUUCUGAUUUGGUAUGUGAGAAGUACUUUUAAAAAAUGUCAUUGUGGAAUCCCCUUUCUCUUGAUAACACUUCCUUAUUAUGUGAGAAUUAGAGAUCAAGGACAAAAUGUGCCAUUCAUUUACAUGUCCAGUCUGACAAUCCAGGACAGAUGUUGUCCUGCUAACAUGUCUUUAAUGUUCCAGGUGAAAGACAUGUUUGUGUUGGGGAGUCACCAGACCUCUGAUCUGUGUGUUUGUACAUUCUUGGGCUAUUUUUGUUUACCAUAUCUGCGUUUGUGUCACUUCUGCACGUUAAGAUUUACGACUGGAAACAUGUGAGAGCCCUCGACGGUUUCAUCAUUCUCCUUGCCCUUGUAAUGUAAAUGUCAUUUGCUUUAAUUAAUGCUCCAAAAAGCCUGGCCUGCAUCCAAAAGAAACCAGUGAUCAGUCACGGUCUCCGCAAAUGGUUUAAGGAUGCAGACCAUGAAGCACUUACAGCAGGUUCCCCUCUGCCCUUCGCUGAAGGACACAUUUUUCACACGGUGAGAAUGGACGCAGGACGUUUACAGAGGAAAUUAAAACUGUCAAUGGGGUUAGAGCCACAUGUGAUUGUUCGACAUUUAACCCAAGUCCUUUUCCAUUUUCGAACGCUCUCUAA